GAUGAACGCUGGCGGCGUGCCUAAUACAUGCAAGUCGAGCGAACGGACGAGAAGCUUGCUUUUCUGAUGUUAGCGGCGGACGGGUGAGUAACACGUGGAUAACCUACCUAUAAGACUGGGAUAACUUCGGGAAACCGGAGCUAAUACCGGAUAAUAUUUUGAACCGCAUGGUUCAAAAGUGAAAGACGGUCUUGCUGUCACUUAUAGAUGGAUCCGCGCUGCAUUAGCUAGUUGGUAAGGUAACGGCUUACCAAGGCAACGAUGCAUAGCCGACCUGAGAGGGUGAUCGGCCACACUGGAACUGAGACACGGACCAGACUCCUACGGGAGGCAGCAGUAGGGAAUCUUCCGCAAUGGGCGAAAGCCUGACGGAGCAACGCCGCGUGAGUGAUGAAGGUCUUCGGAUCGUAAAACUCUGUUAUUAGGGAAGAACAUAUGUGUAAGUAACUGUGCACAGCUUGACGGUACCGAAUCAGAAAGCCACGGCUAACUACGUG
Molecule: ribosomal RNA, 497 nt
Filed under: uncultured bacterium
Lineage: Bacteria
Description: partial 16S ribosomal RNA
Rfam family: Bacterial small subunit ribosomal RNA
Source: RNAcentral